GAUGAACGCUGGCGGCGUGCCUAAUACAUGCAAGUCGAGCGAACAGACGAGGAGCUUGCUUCUCUGACGUUAGCGGCGGACGGGUGAGUAACACGUGGAUAACCUACCUAUAAGACUGGGAUAACUUCGGGAAACCGGAGCUAAUACCGGAUAAUAUAUUGAACCGCAUGGUUCAAUAGUGAAAGACGGUUUUGCUGUCACUUAUAGAUGGAUCCGCGCCGCAUUAGCUAGUUGGUAAGGUAACGGCUUACCAAGGCGACGAUGCGUAGCCGACCUGAGAGGGUGAUCGGCCACACUGGAACUGAGACACGGUCCAGACUCCUACGGGAGGCAGCAGUAGGGAAUCUUCCGCAAUGGGCGAAAGCCUGACGGAGCAACGCCGCGUGAGUGAUGAAGGUCUUCGGAUCGUAAAACUCUGUUAUUAGGGAAGAACAAAUGUGUAAGUAACUAUGCACGUCUUGACGGUACCUAAUCAGAAAGCCACGGCUAACUACGUG
RNAcentral lists this ribosomal RNA (497 nucleotides) under uncultured bacterium. Its description in RNAcentral is "partial 16S ribosomal RNA". It matches the Rfam family "Bacterial small subunit ribosomal RNA", at positions 28 to 507 of the family's 1533-position model. The record is from RNAcentral.